Molecule: non-coding RNA, 28 nt
Filed under: Cricetulus griseus (Chinese hamster)
Lineage: Eukaryota; Metazoa; Chordata; Mammalia; Rodentia; Cricetidae
Source: RNAcentral
CUCUGAAUGUGGGUGCCAGCUGGGAGGC